This 553-nucleotide ribosomal RNA is filed under the name uncultured Gammaproteobacteria bacterium. RNAcentral's name for it is "bacterial SSU rRNA". It matches the Rfam family "Bacterial small subunit ribosomal RNA", at positions 899 to 1451 of the family's 1533-position model. Lineage: Bacteria; Pseudomonadati; Pseudomonadota; Gammaproteobacteria. The record is from RNAcentral.
ACUCAAAGGAAUUGACGGGGGACCCGCACAAGCGGUGGAUGAUGUGGAUUAAUUCGAUGCAACGCGAAAAACCUUACCUACCCUUGACAUGCCAGGAACCCUGCUGAGAGGUGGGGGUGCUCGAAAGAGAGCCUGGGCACAGGUGCUGCAUGGCUGUCGUCAGCUCGUGUCGUGAGAUGUUGGGUUAAGUCCCGCAACGAGCGCAACCCUUGUCAUUAGUUGCCAUCAUUUAGUUGGGCACUCUAAUGAGACUGCCGGUGACAAACCGGAGGAAGGUGGGGAUGACGUCAAGUCCUCAUGGCCCUUAUGGGUAGGGCUUCACACGUCAUACAAUGGUCGGUACAGAGGGUUGCCAAGCCGCGAGGUGGAGCCAAUCCCAGAAAGCCGAUCGUAGUCCGGAUCGUAGUCUGCAACUCGACUGCGUGAAGUCGGAAUCGCUAGUAAUCGUGGAUCAGCAUGCCACGGUGAAUACGUUCCCGGGUCUUGUACACACCGCCCGUCACACCAUGGGAGUGGGUUUCACCAGAAGUAGGUAGCCUAACCGCGAGGGGGC